Micropterus dolomieu (smallmouth bass) is the source of this 364-nucleotide long non-coding RNA. RefSeq lists it as uncharacterized. The record is from RefSeq and is a predicted model, not a curated record. The transcript has 2 exons. Lineage: Eukaryota; Metazoa; Chordata; Actinopteri; Centrarchiformes; Centrarchidae.
CAGGAAUCAGGCAGCUAGCGUGGGACCCGUGCAACAGGCCAAGGCAGGCCGCCGACCCACAAGAGCCUGUGCUGUCACUAGUGAGGUGAAAUCUAUGGGACCCAUCUGCAAAGAGCCUGAAAAAACACUAUCACAGUUCUCAAAUGUGGAUGUCUUGAUCACUUAUGCAGUUUCUGAACCAUCCUGGAAUUUCUUGGCAGCUGUAUGAAACUGACCUUCCUGCAGUUGCAUAAGCCACAAAAACAAGUAGAUGGAACAGCAUACAGUCACUAGUUGAAUAUGACUGGGAUCUCUUUAUUAGUAAUGAAUAAAACAUGUACCUCUGGUCAAUCUUCACAUUGAUGAAUAAAAGGAUAAAACGUGA